GGGUGCACCAGGCGCGAAAACUNUGCAAUGCGGGAAACCGUGACAAGGGAACUCUGAGUGCCCGUUAAAUCGGGCUGUCCAUCGGUUUAAAUAACCGGUGAAGAAAGGGCCGGGCAAGACCGGUGCCAGCCGCCGCGGUAAUACCGGCGGCUCGAGUGGUGGCCACUAUUACUGGGCUUAAAGCGUUCGUAGCUGGUUUGUUAAGUCUCUGGGGAAAUCUUCCGGCUUAACCGGAAGGCGUCUCAGGGAUACUGGCAGACUAGGGACCGGGAGAGGUGAGAGGUACUCCAGGGGUAGGAGUGAAAUCCUGUAAUCCUUGGGGGACCACCUGUGGCGAAGGCGUCUCACCAGAACGGCUCCGACAGUGAGGGACGAAAGCUGGGGGAGCAAACCGGAUUAGAUACCCGGGUAGUCCCAGCUGUAAACGAUGCGCGUUAGGUGUAUCGGUGACCACGAGUCACCGAGGUGCCGAAGAGAAAUCGUGAAACGUGCCGCCUGGGAAGUACGGUCGCAAGGCUGAAACUUAAAGGAAUUGGCGGGGGAGCACAAGGGCGAUUCGC
RNAcentral lists this ribosomal RNA (560 nucleotides) under uncultured archaeon. RNAcentral's name for it is "bacterial SSU rRNA". It matches the Rfam family "Archaeal small subunit ribosomal RNA", at positions 328 to 894 of the family's 1478-position model. The record is from RNAcentral.